UGCAAUUUAGAAUUACUUAGUGUUCUUAGAAAUGUCAAGCAAUGCGUGAACACGAUGUUCACGCAAGGCGCCACUGAGCCAUGGACGGCGAAUUGGCGCCGUUUGCGUAAGUGGCUAAUAAUCUUGAUAAGAACACUUAGGAAUUCUUAAUUGC
This 154-nucleotide non-coding RNA is filed under the name pig gut metagenome. The record is from RNAcentral.